RNAcentral lists this long non-coding RNA (4663 nucleotides) under Bemisia tabaci. Its description in RNAcentral is "lncRNA ENSSSA1NGG009020". Lineage: Eukaryota; Metazoa; Arthropoda; Insecta; Hemiptera; Aleyrodidae. The record is from RNAcentral.
AUGGCUCCCCUGAGACCAAAAAAAUUUGUACCACUAAGGAAUUUUCACCUUCUGACUGUCGAAAAGGGGCACAAGCAGGCUGCAGCAGCAAUUGAAUUUGCUUUCCAGGUUUUAAGCAAACUUACUCCUGAGAUGCAGAACCAAGUAUCGGUGGCCCACGCAUUGGCCCUAGCAGAAAAAAAGGACGCCAACGAUACUGCGCUACUGCUAGAAGCGAUACUUAAAAAUGUUCCAGCAGGUAAAACAUUGAACUAUUAUUACUUUAUCACUUUAUAGAAUUAAGUAGUCCCUUUCGUAAACAUCACUUCUCGAAUAUACUCUGUUUUGAAGUAUGGGAGCCUUAGUUGUGAGAUUUAAUUUUUUUUUUGUUUUUUUUGUUUUUGUUUUUUUAAACAAGCUUUAAAUAGACCCAAUUAGCUAAUUCCACACUUACCACCAGCCCCAGGUGACCGUUGUCCGAGACGAUCAGACAGGGGUCACCUGUUCGGGAAUGGAACCUGGGAUCUCUUGGUUAUAGGGCCAACGCUACAACCACUAUACAACAGGAGAGGUGAGAGGAACCCAGUGUGGAAUAGAUGUUCUUCUAUCUCCCAUUUAAUUUUGUCCCUUAUAGGAGAUGGACAAUUCUAUCAGGGGUGAUGUAGGAGGGUGUAAUAAUAAACGGGUUAACUUUUUGGUUGCGAGGCUUCCCAAAGAAAAGGAGUAGGGAGUCUAAGUGAAAACCUUCACAUGCCCUUAAGUUCUGAGCAGAUGAUAAAAUAAAAAUCUGAAAGAAAUCUGUAUGACGGUGGCAUAUCAGUGUAAACAGACGAACCAUAUAAGGGAAUUAAUGGGCAUUUUUUACGGAUGAACAUAUUUUAAUUUUGCCAUGAUUUGGUAUCAGAUAACAGCAGCAGUGAGACUUAAACACAGUUGUCCUACGCAGCACAACAGACUGCAUGUCGGGGAAAUGUUUAGGGCAGCAAUUAUAUUGUGUCAAAGUUGUUCCACUACCUUUUUGAACACUUGAAGCUAACUGAAAGGAUGCUCCAAGUAGCAAAGUUGAAGAGAAUAUUAUGCCCUCCACAAACUUUCCGGUUCUUCUUGGCCCCAGUCUAAAUACUGAAUGAAAAUUUCAGGGUUCUUGAUUUCCAAUGCUACCAUGGGAGCCUGAAAGUUUCAACUAAAAAUUACAUUAGUGUAAAUGCUGAAAAAUCUAGUCGUGGUGAAUUGACAUGUAAUCAGGGCAGAAAAUGGUGUCUUGCAGUGAAAGACGUUUCUCCCCUGUUUUUUCGCCCCCUUUUACGCACAAUUUGGACGGUCAGGGGUGAGGAGAGAUUCAACUUGUUGGGGGUGUGAUUUGAUGGUAACCUUUUAAACCCUCCCUUGGUAAAAAUUAAAAAUAUUUAGUUCCUGGUGUCACUGUGCUGGGUGAAAGGAAAAAUGUCAUUCAGUAACACUACAAUAUGGCGAAACAAAAUAUUUCGCAACAUUCGGCCAAUACAGCUCUCUGAAAAUAUCCCUUAACCAAGAUAUUAACGUAUUUAUUCAUCGCUGGUUGGAAAAAAUCUGGAUUCCUGGCCCAAUCGAAGAACAAGAUUCUACCUGAUUCAAAUUGGCACCGGAACAGCUUUGGGGGACUUCGCGUUCGAGGAGUAGUCCUUCUCUGCUGUAUGUCUCAAGUGUGAACAAAGUAUAUUACAUAAGUUUAAGUGGCGUAAUCCAAGUAGUGGUAUGGUGCAACCGCAUAGAUCGUAAUUGUAACGUUCAGCGUGGGAUUCAAUGCAAGUAGAUUCUAGUUAUUAUUAUGAAAGGGAAGUUUAAUAUGAUGCAUUAAAUCAUGUGUUACUCGCUUUGUUAAGAGUUAGUUUCAGUCAGUUUUGUUAGGCUAAUACUUUCCUACGCCGCAUUUUAACAUGAAAACACAAAUCAUAACACUUAAAUCUGCACCUUGUCUACACUGAAAAAUGGGAUCUUAAUCUUUACGCAUAAUGAAAGGUUCUUUCUUUCCUGUUGUUGGCUCAUCUAUGAUAAUCAAGAGUUCAAUCCGUAUUUUUAUUUCCUUCCUUUCAGAAGCAGCAAAACCAAGCAUUGAAAACCCAUUUUCCAUCAAUGAACAGCGUAAGUGAAAUUCAUUUCUAUAAGUUUAUUCGUUUUAAUAAGAUGAAUUCGUUGAGUGGCUCCGCUUUUUUGCCUUUGACUCGAAUAAGUCUAAUUUUUGGCCCACCAUAAGCUACAGCCUGUGACGGCUUCACGAGCCAACCAAGGAUGAGUUUUCCGCCGCAGCUGACAUUCAAAUGAUAUGAAUUGGGGCCGUCUCGCCAGAUUUGUUGAUUUUUCAAGCAAAUUUCUUUUCCUCUUUUUUAAAAUUCUGCCUUCAUCUACCUGACUUUUUUUCUAAUUUCUCAAAGAGUAUGCUAGAAUCUAAAUUCAAAAUAUUGAUUCUAUUCUUGAUCCAAACGAGGGAUGUCUCGUAAGUAUCACAACGGUUCCUUACAUAGCUAUUUUCGGUAAGAAGAGUUGUGGCGACCUGAAAUGAAGACGAAUAAUCAGCGAAAAAUUGAAGAAAGUUCAUCGAGGUAUUAGAGAGGAAUUUUUUCUUAAAAUGUAAGUGAGAUUAGAAAAUUGUGAAGAAUCUUGACUUCUAAAGUUAUCAAAUAUUUUGAGGCUCAAGACUGAAAGGAGAACUGCUUGUUUUAUCCCUUGGCAUCUUCCCGUAAGAAACAAAUAAAACUAUGUCUCCUUUUAUUACCAACUCAGGCAAUUAAACUCGUUUCAAAGGUAAGCUGGUUGUGCCAGAGAGUAGUAACUGAACGUCACUAUCAGCAGAAUAAACUGCCACUUUGCUCGCUGUACUUCAGGGGCGGCGUACGUGCACUUAAGAAAUCUUGACCUCAAUCAAAUGAUAUCAGACGGUUUCAGAUAAGAAUCGGAAAAGAUAGACCGAGUGAGAGUUACUUUUCUUUUCUCCUUUUCUAAGACUCUGCGGAUUAACGUUUUUUCCCCUUCUCAUUUUAUUAACUCUCUUGAGGUACAUAGUAAUUUUGUGACAAGAUGACAGGUUUUUACCCUUUUUGAGGGUUUUUUGGUAGUUAACAUGUUACUCUUAAGAUUUUCUACUUUAGGGUGUAGUUAAUCACUGGCUUCGGGAGCACACCAAGGUAUCAUCUUACCCAAGCGUUUUGAUAUUUGGUUUUGAUUAAAUGCGGGAACGCUUCACUUCUAGUUGAUAUCGUUCGUGAAGUUGAUGUGUUGGUAUCUUGAAAUUCCUCGAUGAAAAAAGGAGAGAGUUGCAAUUCCAUCAGCUGAUAUUACUCAGGGAUGAAGACUGUUGAUGACAAAACAGCCUAGUGGUCAGUCAAAGUUAAACUAUGAUUCCAUUGACCUCACUCUCAUCUAUCGAUUUCAGAAUGAACCUUGUGGUGGUUCCGGCGGCUCCUCGCUAAAUUUUUUGGGGAGAUCCUUUGAUAUAGUUACUUAUUUUCGUACGGAUGACUCUAAGUACCCUAAAAUUUGCUUAAAGCAUCUAAAGGAACUAGACUCCACAGAUGUAAAUGUUCCAAAAUUGAAUUGCUAGGCUGUCAACAGUUGUUUGAAUACGAAACAAGCAAGGCACGAACUUCUGAUAUUUAUAAGUACACAGCAACAGCCAUGAAGAUCAGAUCAUUUGCGUUACAUUAAUAAUUGGACCACUCUUUUCAAUCUGGAACCAUAAAUUUUGGCUCGGUUCAAAAACAACGUAUGUACCAUAAGUUUCCGCAUGCUCAUAAGUGUUUUUUCAGAUGAGCCAGAAUUUAUAGUUCCAAAUUUCAAAAGACAGUCAACUUACAACGUCACCUGUUAAGUCGAAUUUGCACUAAUGAAUGUAGCCUCUCCCCUAUUUAAAUAUGUAUAAAAUUUGCACUGAGAAUUAAACAUUCUUGUACUUUUAUAUUUUAACUAUUUUAAUUUUUACCAAAAUUUUAAACACUGAAACCCUCGAAGCAAUUGUGAUCAUUGACAUCUUUGCAUAAGCUGGUAUUAAAUUAAUAUAAAUUUUAAGUAUUAGGAAGUGGCGUAAAAUGUAUAUAUUGUCUCUAUAACUUUAUAAACACGGAAGGAUAAAAUAAAGUAAACUUCUAUUCUAUUCUUGGUAUAGUUACUUAUUUUCUGUUAGCCAUAUAAACCACAAAAACCCUCAAAAACAUUUUCCGUGUCACUUCCUUGUAAUUAAGUAUAAGAUAAGCAAAAACCUUUGAUGAAUUCCCAAAGUCCACUAAGACUAAUCUCUCAAAAAUUUCCAGAAAUUUACUCGAAAGGAAAAACAGAAAAUGAAAAAUAAAUCCCUUGUCAAAAACAAACAAAAAACCGAUUUUGAGAUAAAUCCCUCGAAUGAACUUGAAAUCACAAAAUCCAUCGAGGAUGUCAACUGAAAUUUUUCCCCCUUCAAUUAUGAACUCCGCAACAAGCAUGACUCGCUUGUACCUUUUCAUACACGAGCCGCACAAAUUCAUCUCUUCUCUCCUCUCCUUCCGUCCAUGGACAGAGGUCCUAAAUUAUUCGGAUUUACUGACCUAGCCAUCUAAAGAGAAAGCUAUUUACUAUUAUGUACAUUUGGUAAUGACUUAUUGCAAAAUGUUAUCGAAUUGAUAUAUAAGAGCAUAUUUUGCAGUAAGCGAAGGUUUGAGAUUAAUAACAGUUAACC